Long non-coding RNA from Prunus persica (peach), 730 nucleotides. RefSeq lists it as uncharacterized. The record is from RefSeq and is a predicted model, not a curated record. The transcript is spliced from 2 exons. Lineage: Eukaryota; Viridiplantae; Streptophyta; Magnoliopsida; Rosales; Rosaceae.
UAGGUAGAUAGAUAGAGGAAGAUAUCAAAACAACAAGUUGUGUUUAAUUCGUAUAAUUAUAUAGGCGUAGCCUCUAGAGUUUCGUCGUAUCCAGAACCCUGUUUCUAAUCCAAACCCAGUUCCCGGGGAAAAGCAUGCAUGCAUGCAUAGAGACUUGAUCACAGUGUUGCUGUGCAUGCCAAUGCCAUUCGUCAUCAACCUGUGUCAUCAACCUUUUUCUUCGCUAUGAAGUAUUUGUUUUACUUCUUCUUCUUCUCUCUCUAGCUCUUUUCGCCCUAGAUAUUUAGCUACUUCCCAUUCUUUUCUAUAUGCAGCUUCGAUCCGUCGAGCCAGCAAAAAGCACACAAGCAUUUUAAUUAUAAUAAUGUAAUAAUUAAGCUUUGGGGCAUAUCACAAUCUUGGACAAGUUGAGCAUCAGAUUCAUCAUUCAUAAAGAAGCUCAUCUUUUGAACUCACAUGAUCCAGUUGCCAAGUUAAACACGAAGAAUCAGCGCGAAAAUGACAAUGUUAUGUCUUAAUUCUUAGUUUAAGAGGCUUGAUGAUUGUAACAACACCUACAUAGGAAAGAAGAAGUGCUUUUAUGUAUAUAUCAAAAUUAUAGUUCGUAACUUUAGUGGUUUUAUUUUUCUUAAUUUUGGAAGAGAUAGACAAGUUGGAAUUGUCUUUUUCAUAUACAAUAUAUUAGGUGUGUUUAGUAAAUGUCAAGUGGAAUGAAGUCGGUGUUCUAUAC